GACGAACGCUGGCGGCGUGCUUAACACAUGCAAGUCGAACGGUGACGAGGAGCUUGCUCCUCUGAUCAGUGGCGAACGGGUGAGUAACACGUGAGUAACCUGCCCCAGACUCUGGGAUAACAGUUGGAAACAGCUGCUAAUACCGGAUACGAGACGGAGAGGCAUCUCUACCGUCUGGAAAGUUUUUCGGUCUGGGAUGGACUCGCGGCCUAUCAGCUUGUUGGUGAGGUAAUGGCUCACCAAGGCGACGACGGGUAGCCGGCCUGAGAGGGCGACCGGCCACACUGGGACUGAGACACGGCCCAGACUCCUACGGGAGGCAGCAGUGGGGAAUAUUGCACAAUGGGCGAAAGCCUGAUGCAGCGACGCCGCGUGAGGGAUGACGGCCUUCGGGUUGUAAACCUCUUUCAGCAGGGAAGAAGCGAAAGUGACGGUACCUGCAGAAGAAGCACCGGCUAACUACGUG
RNAcentral lists this ribosomal RNA (466 nucleotides) under uncultured organism. RNAcentral's name for it is "bacterial SSU rRNA". It matches the Rfam family "Bacterial small subunit ribosomal RNA", at positions 28 to 507 of the family's 1533-position model. The record is from RNAcentral.